This 167-nucleotide ribosomal RNA is filed under the name uncultured bacterium. RNAcentral describes it as "partial 16S ribosomal RNA". It matches the Rfam family "Bacterial small subunit ribosomal RNA", at positions 338 to 522 of the family's 1533-position model. The record is from RNAcentral.
CCUACGGGAGGCAGCAGUGGGGAAUAUUGGGCAAUGGGCGAAAGCCUGAUCCAGCAAUGCCGCGUGAGUGAUGAAGGCCUUAGGGUUGUAAAGCUCCUUUACCCGGGAUGAUAAUGACAGUACCGGGAGAAUAAGCUCCGGCUAACUCCGUGCCAGCAGCCGCGGUA